Heterocephalus glaber (naked mole-rat) is the source of this 1553-nucleotide long non-coding RNA. NCBI's taxonomy places the organism in Eukaryota, Metazoa, Chordata, Mammalia, Rodentia, Bathyergidae. The record is from Ensembl.
CCUGCCCCCUUCUCCAUAGGGAGGAGGGAAGCGCCCCUACUUCGGGAAGUCGCCUUUUCCCGCUGACAAGCUGCCCCCGCCGGUUCGCAGCUCCGGGCUCUGAGCUCCAGAUCGCAGCCCCUAUCCCGGAGCGAAGCUAAGGCAACUGCGUCUCCUCUCACCGACAAGACUCCGGCUCAGACGGGUGGGCGGCGAGUAGGGCUCCAGUCACAGACUGGCGCUAGCAAAAUGGAGGAGGAGAGGCAGUGAUGUGUGGUAGAGGAGGAAGAGGAGGAGGAGGGCCAGCGAUGUCUGGUGGAGGAGGAGGAGGGCAAGCAAAGUCUGGUAAAGGAGGAGGAGGAGGGCCAGCGAUGUCUGGUAGAGGAGGAGGACGAGGGCCAGCAAUGUCUGGUAAAGGAGAAGGAGGAGGAGGAGGAGGAGGGCGGCCAGCGAUGUCUGGAGGAGGAGGAGGAGGAGGAGGGCCAGCAAUGUCUGGUAGAGGAGGAGUAGUACGAGGGCCAGCAAUGUGUGGUAGAGGAGGAGGAAGAGGAGGAGGAGGAGGAGGAGGAGAGGCAGUGUUGUCUGGUAGAGGAGGAAGAGGAGGAGGGCCAGUGAUGUCUGGUAGAGAAGGAGGAGGAGGAGGAGAGGCAGCGAUGUCUGGUAGACGAAGAAGAGGAGAAGGGCCAGCAAUGUCUGGUGGAGGAGGAGGAGGAGGAAGGCCAGCAAUGUCUGGUGGAGGAGGAGGAGGAGGAAGGCCAGCAAUGUCUGGUAGAGGAGGAAGAGGAUGAGGAGGAUGAGUUGGACGAGGGCCAGUGAUGCCUGGUAGUGGAGGAGGAGGAGGAAGUCCAGCAAUGUCUGGUAAAGGAGAAGGAGGAGGGCCAGCAAUGUCUGGAAGAGGAGGAGGAGGAGGAGGAGGAGGAGGGCCAGCUAUGUCUGGUUCAGGAGGAGGAGGAGGAGGGCCAGUGAUGUCUGGUAGAGGAGGAGGAGGAGGAGGAGGAGGACGGCCAGCGAUGUCUGGUAGAGGAGGAGGAGGAGGAGGAGGAGGAGGGGCAGUGAUGUGUGGUAGAGGAGGAAGAGGAGGAGGAGGGCCAGCGAUGUCUGGUGGAGGAGGAGGAGGGCAAGCAAAGUCUGGUAAAGGAGAAGGAGGAGGGCCAGCGAUGUCUGGUAGAGGAGGAGGAGGAGGAGGAGGAAGUCCAGCAAUAUCUGGUAAAGGAGAAGGAGGAGGGCCAGCAAUGUCUGGUGGAGGAGGAGGAGGAGGAGGGCCAGUGAUGUCUGGUGGAGGAGGAGGAGGAGGAGGGCCAGUGAUGUCUGGUAGAGGAGGAGGAGGUGGAGGAAAAGGGCCAGCGAUGUCUGGUAGAGGAGCAGAAGGAGGAGGAGGAGGAGGGCCAUCAAUAUCUGGUAGAGGAGGAGGAGGAGGGCCAGCAAUGUGUGGUAAAGGAGAAGGAGGAGGAGGAGGAGGAGGAGAGGCAGUGUUGUCUGGUAGAGGAGGAAGCGGAGGAGGAGGAGGAGGAAGGUCAGAAAUGUCUGGUAGAGGAGGAGGAGGAGGAAGGCCAGUGAUGUCUGGAGGAGGAGGA